CGUGGAGGCAUGGGGUGGGUUGGAAGGGUCCUUAAAGAUCAUAGAGCCAUGGAAUGGUUGAGGUAAAAGGGUUCUUAAAGAUGGUAGAUGCAUGGGAUGGGAUGGAAGGGUCCUUGGAGGUGGUAGAGGCAUGGAAUGGUUGGGUUAGAAGGGUUCUUAUAGAGCAUGGAGGCAUGGGGUGGGUUGGAAGGGUCCUAAGAGGACGUAGAGCCAUGGGGUGGUUGGGGUAGAAGGAUUCUUAAAGAUGGUAGAUGGAUGGGAUGGGUUGGAAGAGUCCUUAAAGAUCAUAGAGCCACGGAAUGGUCGGGUUAGAAGGGUUCUUAAAGAUCGUAGAUGCGUGGGAUGGGUUGGAAGGGUCCUUAGAGGUGGUAGAGGCAUGGGGUGGUUGGGGUAGAAGGGUUCUUAAAGUUCAUAGAUGCAUGGGAUGGGCUGCAAGGGUCCUUAGAGGUCGUAGAGACGUGGAAUGGUCGGGUUAGAAGGGUUCUUAAAGAUGGUAGAUGCAUGGGAUGGGAUGGAAGGGUCCUUGGAGGUGGUAGAGGCAUGGAAUGGUUGGGAUAAAAGGGUUCUUAUAGAGCGUGGAGGCUUGGGGUGGGUUGGAAAGGUCCUAAGAGGCCGUAGAGCCGUGGGGUGGUUGGGGUAGAAGGGUUCUUAAAGAUCGUAGAUGCAUGGGAUGGGUUGGAAGAGUCCUUAGAGGACGUAGUGGCAUGGAAUGGUUGGGGUAAAAGGGUUCUUAAAGAUCAUAAAUGCAUGGGGUGGGUUGGAAGGGUCCUUAAAGAUCAUAGAGCCAUGGGGUGGUUGGGGUAAAAGGGUUCUUAAAGAUCGUAGAUGCAUGGGAUGGGUUGGAAGGGUCCUUAGAGGUCGUAGAGGCAUGGGGUGGUUGGGGUAAAAGGGUUCUUAAAGAUCAUAGAUGCAUGGGAUGGGUUGGAAGGGCCCUUAGAGGUCAUAGAGCCGUGGAAUGGUCGGGUUAGAAGGGUUCUUAAAGAUUGUAGAUGCAUGGGGUGGGCUGCAAGGGUCCUUAAAGAUCAUAGAGCCAUGGAAUGGUUGGGUUAGAAGGGUUCUUAAAGAUGGUAGAUGCAUGGGGUGGGUUGGAAGGGUCCUUAGAGGACGUAGAACUGUGGGGUGGUUGGGGUAAAAGGGUUCUUAAAGAUGGUAGAUGCAUGGGAUGGGUUGGAAGGGUCCUUAAAGAUCAUAGAGCCAUGGACUGGUUGAGGUAAAAGGGUUCUUAAAGAUGGUAGAUGCAUGGGAUGGGAUGGAAGGCUCCUUAGAGGUCGUAGAGGCAUGGAGUGGUUGGGUUAGAAGGGUUCUUAACGAUUGUAGAUGCAUGGGAUGGGUUGGAAGGGUCCUUAGAGGUGGUACAGAUGUGGAAUGGUUGGGGUAAAAGGGUUCUUAAAAAUCGUAGAUGCAUGGAAUGGGUUGGAAGGGUCCUUAAAGAUCAUAGAGCCGUGGUUUGGUUGAGGUAAAAGGGUUCUUAAAGAUGGUAGAUGCAUGGGAUGGGUUGGAAGGGUCCUUAAAGAUCAUAGAGCCAUGGAAUGGUUGAGGUAAAAGGGUUCUUAAAGAUGGUAGAUGCAUGGGAUGGGAUGGAAGGGUCCUUAGAGGUCGUAGAGGCAUGGAAUGGUCAGGUUAGAAGGGUUCUUAAAGAUUGUAGAUGCAUGGGAUGGGAUGGAAGGGUCCUUAGAGGUCGUAGAGGCAUGGAAUGGUUGGGUUAGAAGGGUUCUUAUAGAGCAUGGAGGCAUGGGGUGGGUUGGAAGGGUCCUAAGAGGACGUAGAGCCGUGGGGUGGUUGGGGUAGAAGGGUUCUUAAAGAUCAUAGAUGCAUGGGAUGGGUUGGAAGGGUCCUUAAAGAUCAUAGAGCCAUGGAAUGGUUGAGGUAAAAGGGUUCUUAAAGAUCGUAGAUGCAUGGGAUGAGUUGGAAGGGUUCUUAGGGGCCGUAGAGGCAUGGAAUGGUUGGGUUAGAAGGGUUCUUAAAGAUGGUAGAUGCAUGGGAUGGGAUGGAAGGGUCCUUGGAGGUGGUAGAGGCAUGGAAUGGUUGGGAUAAAAGGGUUCUUAUAGAGCGUGGAGGCAUGGGGUGGGUUGGAAGGGUCCUAAGAGGACGUAGAGCCGUGGGGUGGUUGGGGUAGAAGGGUUCUUAAAGAUGGUAGAUGCAUGGGAUGGGUUGGAAGAGUCCUUAGAGGCCGUAGAGGCAUGGAAUGGUUGGGGUAAAAGGGUUCUUAAAGAUCAUAAAUGCAUGGGAUGAGUUGGAAGGGUCCUUAAAGAUCAUAGAGGCAUGGACUGGUUGAGGUAAAAGGGUUCUUAACGAUGGUAAAUGCAUGGGAUGGGUUGGAAGGGUCCUUAGAGGUUGUAGAGCCAUAGGAUGUGUGGGUUGGAAGGGUCCUUCAAGGUCAUGGAGCCAUUGAAUGGGAUGGGUUGGAAAGGUUGUUACAGAUCAUAGAGCCAUGGGAUGAUUGGGUCGGAAGGGUCCUUACAGAUCACACAACCACAGCAUGGUUGGGUUGGAAGGGUCCUUACAGAUCACACAACCACAACACAGUUGGGUCUGAAGGGUCCUUACAGAUCACACAACCACAAAAUGGUUGGGUUGGAAGGGUCCUUACAGAUCAGAUUCCUGUGGCACCCUAUGGGUCCUUAUGGCACCCUAUAUAUUCCUAUGAGUCCCUAUGGCACCCUAUGGAUUCCUGUGGCACCCUAUGGGUCCUUAUGGCACCCUAUGAUUCCUAUGGGUCCCUAUGGCUCCCUAUGGCACCCUAUAGAUUCCUAUGGCUCCCUGUGGCUCCCUAUGGAUCCCUAUGACACCCUAUGGAUUCCUGUGGCACCCUAUGCGAUCCCUAUGGCUCCCUAUGGAUUCCUGUGACACCCUAUGCGUUCCCUAUGACACCCUAUGGAUUCCUAUUGGUCCCUAUGGCACCCUAUGGCACCCUAUAGAUUCCUAUGGCUCCCUAUGGAUUCCUAUGACACCCUAUUGGUUCAUUAUGGCACCCUAUAGAUUCCUAUGGCUCCCUAUGGCUCCCUAUGGCACCCUAUGGAUUCCUAUUGGUCCCUAUGGCACCCUAUGGCACCCUAUAGAUUCCUAUGGCUCCCUAUGGAUUCCUGUGACACCCUAUGCGUUCCCUAUGACACCCUAUGGAUUCCUAUUGGUCCCUAUGGCUCCCUAUGGCACCCUAUGCCAUCCCUAUGGCUCCCUAUGGAUUCCUAUGACACUCUAUGGAUUCCUGUGACACCCUAAGCGUUCCCUAUGGCACCCUAUGGAUUCCUAUGGCACCCUAUGGGUCCUUAUGGCACCCUAUGCGAUCCCUAUGGCACCCUAUGAUUCCUAUGGGUCCCUAUGAUUCCUAUGGGUCCCUAUGGCACCCUAUAGAUUCCUAUGGGUCCCUAUGGAUUCCUGUGACACCCUAUGCAAUCCCUAUGACGCUCUAUGGAUUCCUAUGGGUCCCCAUGGCUCCCUAUGGCACCCUAUGCCAUCCCUAUGGCUCCCUAUGGAUUUCUGUGACACCCUAUGGAUUCCUGUGACACCCUAUGUGUUCCCUAUGGCAUCCUAUGGGUCCCUAUGGCACCCUAUGGGUCCUUAUGGCACCCUAUGAUUCGUAUGGGUCCCUAUGGCUCCCUAUGGCACCCUAUAGAUUCCUAUGGGUCCUUAUGGCUCCCUAUGGAUUCCUAUGGCACCCUAUGGAUUCCUGUGGCACCCUAUGGGUCCUUAUGGCACCCUAUGCGAUCCCUAUGCGAUCCCUGUGGCACCCUAUGGGUCCCUAUGGCACCCUAUAGAUUCCUAUGGCUCCCUAUGGAUUCCUGUGACACCCUAUGCCAUCCCUAUGGCUCCCUAUGGAUUCCUAUGACACCCUAUGGAUUCCUGUGGCACCCUAUGCGUUCCCUAUGGCACCCUAUGGAUUCCUGUGCCACCCUAUGGGUCCUUAUGGCACCCUAUGCGAUCCCUAUGGCACCCUAUGCGAUCCCUAUGGCACCCUAUGAUUCCUAUGGGUCCCUAUGAUUCCUAUGGGUCCCUAUGGCACCCUAUAGAUUCCUGUGGGUCCCUAUGGAUUCCUGUGACACCCUAUGCGUUCCCUGUGGCACCCUAUGGAUUCCCGUGGCACCCUUUGGGUCCUUAUGGCUCCCUAUGGCACCCUAUGCCAUCCCUAUGGCUCCCGAUGGAUUCCUAUGACACUCUAUGGAUUCCUGUGACACCCUAUGCGAUCCCUAUGACACCCUAUGGAUUCCUGUGGCACCCUAUGGGUCCUUAUGGCACCCACUGGUUCUCCAGGCCGCCUGGUCUGUUGGCAAGCGCCCCUUGCACCCAUCUGAGUGUUGUAAGUCCGCGAUCCUUUUUCCAUCCAUGCCGCGCUGUGACCACACGGCUCACGGUCUCCCUUCUGCCCCGC
Long non-coding RNA from Lagopus muta (rock ptarmigan), 4366 nucleotides. RefSeq lists it as uncharacterized. The record is from RefSeq and is a predicted model, not a curated record. The transcript is spliced from 3 exons. NCBI's taxonomy places the organism in Eukaryota, Metazoa, Chordata, Aves, Galliformes, Phasianidae.